GACGAACGCUGGCGGCGUGCUUAACACAUGCAAGUCGAACGGAAAGGCCCCCUUGUGGGGUACUCGAGUGGCGAACGGGUGAGUAACACGUGAGUAACCUACCCUUGACUUUGGGAUAACUUCAGGAAACUGGGGCUAAUAUCGGAUAGGAGCUCCUGCUGCAUGGUGGGGGUUGGAAAGUUUCGGCGGUUGGGGAUUGACUCGCGGCUUAUCAGCUUGUUGGUGGGGUAGUGGCUCACCAAGGCUUUGACGGGUAGCCGGCCUGAGAGGGUGACCGGCCACAUUGGGACUGAGAUACGGACCAGACUCCUACGGGAGGCAGCAGUGGGGAAUAUUGCACAAUGGGCGGAAGCCUGAUGCAGCAACGCCGCGUGCGGGAUGACGGCCUUCGGGUUGUAAACCGCUUUCGCCUGUGACGAAGCGUGAGUGACGGUAAUGGGUAAAGAAGCACCGGCUAACUACGUG
Molecule: ribosomal RNA, 465 nt
Filed under: uncultured bacterium
Lineage: Bacteria
Description: partial 16S ribosomal RNA
Rfam family: Bacterial small subunit ribosomal RNA
Source: RNAcentral